UACAGGGGGGGCAAGCGUUGUUCGGAAUUACUGGGCGUAAAGGGUUCGUAGGUGGCCACCUAAGUCAGACGUGAAAUCCCUCAGCUUAACUGGGGAACUGCGUCUGAUACUGGGUGGCUUGAGUGCAGGAGAGGAAUGCGGAAUUCCAGGUGUAGCGGUGAAAUGCGUAGAUAUCUGGAGGAACACCGGUGGCGAAGGCGGCAUCCUGGACCGGCAUUGACGCUGAGGCGCGAAAGCCAGGGGAGCAAACGGG
This 253-nucleotide ribosomal RNA is filed under the name uncultured bacterium. RNAcentral describes it as "partial 16S ribosomal RNA". It matches the Rfam family "Bacterial small subunit ribosomal RNA", at positions 524 to 776 of the family's 1533-position model. The record is from RNAcentral.